Molecule: unclassified non-coding RNA, 787 nt
Filed under: Hevea brasiliensis (rubber tree)
Lineage: Eukaryota; Viridiplantae; Streptophyta; Magnoliopsida; Malpighiales; Euphorbiaceae
Source: RNAcentral
AGGGAAAUGGUUUCAUUUAGCAAGAGAUAAGGUAGUAAAUCCUUGUGGAAGCAAAACAGUAACACGAUAUUGAUAAACUAUUACUAGUGUAUUUUAUGAGAGUGCAUUGCAGGCUUGUAAAACUUAUAUUUUAUCAACUUAAGGGUUGAUUGCUUGAUGUGGAAAUGAAACCAUUUCUCUCCUUCCUAAAUGGAAGCAACUUCUUUGCAUAUGAAUUGAUCUCUCAUUUCAGACUCAUUAGUUCUACUGCUUUGAUGUCAUUGAGCUAUCUGACCGGAGUAGAUUACCUUGAGUUUCAAUGUAUGGUCUAAUGAAAGUCCUCCGCCACCAGACCUCGAAGGCUUUCUGGAGAUUUGGGCAAUUAUCGCCAGCCUUCAAAAAACUGCCCAACCAUGCAAGCAAAAUACUCUGUUGGUUCUCCAGAGGUAGAGUCAGGAUUGUCCUCCCUAUGCCUUCCUCCACCACCUUCCGAUCAAAUGAGCGGCUACCAUGUUGUAACCAACUGUAGUCAUUGAUCAAUGGCUGUAACCAGGUUUGUAACAAUAGGUGACGAGUGUCCUUUAAUGGUAGCAGCUCUCCUCUUCCAAUUCCAACAAACAGCCUUGCAGUAAUGCAGCUAACAUGGUAACGGGACACUAUAGGCAGCUUUGCAUGUAGGGCUGCCAACUCCUGCUGACUAGCCCACAUUAAAGCAAAUUCAUCUGCCACUUGUCUGUUGGCCAAAAUGUCAAGCAACCAUGAUAAGUUAUCAGCCUCAAGAGCUAUUCGUUUCACCACUGGUUCCCUA